AUCAGACAUUUUGUAAUUAUGCCUGAAAUAAACACUGACCACCCCGACGAGCAACAGGUUCAACUCCUGGCAGAGAUGUGUAUCCUUAUUAAUGAAAAUGACAAUAAAAUUGGGGCUGUGACCAAGAAGAAUUGUCAUUUGAAUGAGAAUAUUGAGAAAGGAUUAUUGCAUCGAGCUUUGAGUGUCUUCUUAUUCAACAACACUGAAAAUAAGCUUCUGCUACAGCAAAGAUCAGAUGCUAAGAUUACCUUUCCAUGUUGUUUUACUAAUACUUGUUGUAAUCAUCCAUUAAGUAAUCCGGUGAGCUAGAGGAAAAUGGUGCCCUUGGAGUGAGGCAAGGAGCACAGAGGUGGUUGAAAGCUGAGCUAGGAAUUCCCUUGGCAGAGGUUACUCCAGAAGAAAUUAAUUAUUUAACACGAAUUCACUACAAAGCUCAGCAGGAUAGUAUCUGGGGUGAGCACGAAAUUGAUUAUAUUUUGUUUCUGAGGAAGAAUGUAACUUUGAAUCCAGAUCCCAAGGAGAUUAAAAGCUAUUGUUAGGUGUCAAAGGAAGAACUAAAAGCACUUUGGGAAAAAAGCAGCUAAUGGUGAAAUUAAGAUAAUGCCAUGGUUUUAAAUUAUUGCAGAGACUUUUCUCAUUAAAUGGUGGGAUAACUUAAAUCAUUUGAAUCAGUUUGUUGACCAUGAGAAAAUAUACAGAAUGUGAAUAUGUAGGUAAAUGAUCACUGAAAAAUUUCUCUACUUAACAAACUUAGAAUGACUUUUUUAGUUUAAAGUUAGUUC
Sapajus apella (tufted capuchin) is the source of this 782-nucleotide RNA transcript. It is a transcript of the gene named isopentenyl-diphosphate Delta-isomerase 1-like, with no coding region annotated. The record is from RefSeq and is a predicted model, not a curated record. NCBI's taxonomy places the organism in Eukaryota, Metazoa, Chordata, Mammalia, Primates, Cebidae. The transcript has a single exon.